This 277-nucleotide ribosomal RNA is filed under the name uncultured bacterium. RNAcentral's name for it is "partial 16S ribosomal RNA". It matches the Rfam family "Bacterial small subunit ribosomal RNA", at positions 82 to 354 of the family's 1533-position model. The record is from RNAcentral.
CCGUUGCCGGCGACCGGCGCACGGGUGAGUAACACGUAUGCAACCUGCCCGUGGCAGGGGGAGUAAGCGGGGGAAACCCCGUCUAAUACCGCGUAACGCGGCCUUGGGGCAUCCCAAGGCCGCCAAAGGGAGCAAUCCCGGCCACGGAUGGGCAUGCGGCGCAUUAGCUAGUCGGCGGGGUAACGGCCCACCGAGGCGACGAUGCGUAGGGGUUCUGAGAGGAAGGCCCCCCACACUGGUACUGAGACACGGACCAGACUCCUACGGAAGGCAGCAG